This 70-nucleotide non-coding RNA is filed under the name Gammaproteobacteria bacterium. The record is from RNAcentral. Lineage: Bacteria; Pseudomonadati; Pseudomonadota; Gammaproteobacteria.
CGCCGAAACCGGGCCAGCGCGGCCCGGUCGUGGCGGGGUGUUUCCCGCCGCCUGACGAUGGCAGACACCA